RNAcentral lists this transfer RNA (72 nucleotides) under Aspergillus flavus NRRL3357. RNAcentral's name for it is "tRNA-Asp (GTC) (tRNA-Asp-GTC-1-1)". It matches the Rfam family "tRNA". Rfam says of the family: Transfer RNA (tRNA) molecules are approximately 80 nucleotides in length. Their secondary structure includes four short double-helical elements and three loops (D, anti-codon, and T loops). The record is from RNAcentral. RNAcentral also lists the same sequence under 6 other names. Lineage: Eukaryota; Fungi; Ascomycota; Eurotiomycetes; Eurotiales; Aspergillaceae.
UCUUCCUUGGUCUAGUGGUCAUGAUUUCCGCUUGUCACGCGGGAGACCGGGGUUCGAUUCCCCGAGGGAGAG